UUGGCUGUCUUAAUGUUUAAAACGCAUUCAAUAGCAAGGGCUGGGCAAGACCGGUGCCAGCCGCCGCGGUAAUACCGGCAGCCCGAGUGGUAACCACUAUUAUUGGGUCUAAAGGGUCCGUAGCCGGGCCAAUCAGUCUUCUGGGAAAUCUGGCAGCUCAACUGUCAGACGUCUAGGGGAUACUGUUGGCCUUGGGACCGGGAGAGGUAAGAGGUACUUUAGGGGUAGGAGUGAAAUCUUGUAAUCCUUAAGGGACCACCAAUGGCGAAGGCAUCUUACCAGAACGGGUCCGACGGUGAGGGACGAAAGCUAGGGGCGCAAACCGGAUUAGAUACCCGGGUAGUCCUAGCCGUAAACGAUGUUCGCUAUGUGUCAGGGACGGCCUGACCGUUCCUGGUGCCGAAGGGAAGCUGUGAAGCGAACCACCUGGGAAGUACGGCCGCAAGGCUG
This 450-nucleotide ribosomal RNA is filed under the name uncultured archaeon. RNAcentral's name for it is "bacterial SSU rRNA". It matches the Rfam family "Archaeal small subunit ribosomal RNA", at positions 403 to 851 of the family's 1478-position model. The record is from RNAcentral.